GAUGAACGCUAGCUACAGGCUUAACACAUGCAAGUCGAGAGGAAACGAUAGGGAAAGCUUGCUUUUUCUAGGCGUCGACCGGCGCACGGGUGAGUAACGUGUAUCCAACCUGCCCAUCACCUGGGGAUAACCUUGCGAAAGUAAGACUAAUACCCAAUGACGUCUCUAGAAGACAUCUGAAGGAGAUUAAAGAUUUAUCGGUGAUGGAUGGGGAUGCGUCUGAUUAGCUUGUUGGCGGGGUAACGGCCCACCAAGGCGACGAUCAGUAGGGGUUCUGAGAGGAAGGUCCCCCACAUUGGAACUGAGACACGGUCCAAACUCCUACGGGAGGCAGCAGUGAGGAAUAUUGGUCAAUGGACGAGAGUCUGAACCAGCCAAGUAGCGUGCAGGAAGACGGCCCUAUGGGUUGUAAACUGCUUUUAUAAGGGAAUAAAGUGAGUCUCGUGAGACUUUUUGCAUGUACCUUAUGAAUAAGGACCGGCUAAUUCCGUGCCAGCCGCCGCGGUAA
This 508-nucleotide ribosomal RNA is filed under the name uncultured bacterium. RNAcentral's name for it is "partial 16S ribosomal RNA". It matches the Rfam family "Bacterial small subunit ribosomal RNA", at positions 28 to 523 of the family's 1533-position model. The record is from RNAcentral.